UGAUACGCUGCGAAAAGCCGUGGGGAGCUGCGAAUAAGCUUUGAUCCAUGGAUCUCCGAAUGGGGCAACCCACCUUAAAUACCUAGAAAAUCAUUCCUGUUGGAAUGAUUUGUCUAGCUUUGUUUGAUCUUACGUGCCGUAUCGCACUUCCUUUGGAAGUGCUGGCACUGCGAUGGCGCGGCAAACGAUUGCCGACGGCCUCUGGCCUGUAUGGGUGGCAUGCUCGAAGUUCGGGUAUGGCAGCAAUACAGCGCAGAGCGCGUCGCCGGUCGUCCGGCGCACCGUCUGUAGCGAAGCAGCGCAAGCUGCGACAGCGUGAAGACAAAGCAAACCCGGCACGUCCGGGUGGGACAGGGCAACCGGAAUGGUUUCUAGGUAUUGUGAUAAGGUAUCUGCACCUGAAUACAUAGGGUGUAAGAAGCGAACGCAGGGAACUGAAACAUCUAAGUACCUGCAGGAA
This 460-nucleotide ribosomal RNA is filed under the name Agrobacterium sp. MAFF210268. RNAcentral describes it as "partial 23S ribosomal RNA". It matches the Rfam family "Bacterial large subunit ribosomal RNA", at positions 59 to 218 of the family's 2925-position model. The record is from RNAcentral. Lineage: Bacteria; Pseudomonadati; Pseudomonadota; Alphaproteobacteria; Hyphomicrobiales; Rhizobiaceae. RNAcentral also lists the same sequence under 1 other name.